CCACAAUGAAAAUAUGUUUAUAAACAUGCACAUACAUUGAACGCAAGUUGACAAACAAAUUAACCUACAUGAAGCAUAGUUUUGACCAUCUUAACAAUCAUCUAACACAAGUCACAAAAAGAUAAGGACUAUUGGUUACUAUGAGAGACUUCAGAUUGUCCAGAACACACAAGUUUGUAUUUACAUGCACAAAGUGCAAUCUCCAAAACACUCGAAACACCAAAUGGUCUACAAGACAAUAAGGCCCAUGAUUACAGGUUGGUUGGUCCAUAAACGCUAGAGAGUCAUCAUGUCCAUGUGCAUCAACAGGUUGAGUAC
This 318-nucleotide long non-coding RNA is filed under the name Hordeum vulgare. Its description in RNAcentral is "long non-coding RNA (HVUL_LNC001046)". The record is from RNAcentral. Lineage: Eukaryota; Viridiplantae; Streptophyta; Magnoliopsida; Poales; Poaceae.